This 253-nucleotide ribosomal RNA is filed under the name uncultured bacterium. RNAcentral's name for it is "partial 16S ribosomal RNA". It matches the Rfam family "Bacterial small subunit ribosomal RNA", at positions 524 to 776 of the family's 1533-position model. The record is from RNAcentral.
UACGAAGGUGGCAAGCGUUACUCGGAAUUACUAGGCGUAAAGGGCAGGUAGGUGGUUUGGUAAGUCUGUUGUGAAAGCUCCUGGCUUAACUGGGAGAGGCCAACAGAAACUACCAGGCUUGAGUAUGGGAGAGGGUACUGGAAUUCCCGGUGUAGCGGUGAAAUGCGCAGAGAUCGGGAGGAACACCUAUGGCGAAAGCAGGUACCUGGACCAUUACUGACACUCAGCUGCGAAAGCUAGGGGAGCAAACAGG